GGAGAUAUCGCUCAUUUGGUAGAGUGUUUGCCUCGCAUGCACAAGGCUCUGGGUUUGAACCCCAGCACCACCU
This 73-nucleotide transfer RNA is filed under the name Ictidomys tridecemlineatus (thirteen-lined ground squirrel). Its description in RNAcentral is "Spermophilus tridecemlineatus (thirteen-lined ground squirrel) tRNA". It matches the Rfam family "tRNA". Rfam says of the family: Transfer RNA (tRNA) molecules are approximately 80 nucleotides in length. Their secondary structure includes four short double-helical elements and three loops (D, anti-codon, and T loops). The record is from Rfam by way of RNAcentral. Lineage: Eukaryota; Metazoa; Chordata; Mammalia; Rodentia; Sciuridae.